This 265-nucleotide long non-coding RNA is filed under the name Pan troglodytes (chimpanzee). RNAcentral's name for it is "long non-coding RNA NONPTRT014991". Lineage: Eukaryota; Metazoa; Chordata; Mammalia; Primates; Hominidae. The record is from RNAcentral.
CGCACAUCAGUUAACAUAAUAGCAAAUGAUUGAAAUUUAAUUUGGUUAUAUGUUGUGUAAUCCACAUUUUUACAUAAUAUGGACUCACUUUAAGUUAUACCCAAUAACAAGUUUCAAAAAUGGAGAUGCCUCGUUUGCUUGGACCUAUUUAUUGAUCAGAUUUGGGUUACGGAGAUGUAUGCACUACUAAAAAUUAGUGAAUAUACAUACUUAAGAUUUCUACAUUUUACUGUAGUCAGUUUUACAACAAAAUAUUGAAAUGCUA